This 412-nucleotide ribosomal RNA is filed under the name uncultured bacterium. RNAcentral's name for it is "bacterial SSU rRNA". It matches the Rfam family "Bacterial small subunit ribosomal RNA", at positions 1 to 408 of the family's 1533-position model. The record is from RNAcentral.
GCCCUUGCAACAGAGUUUGAUCCUGGCUCAGGAUGAACGUUGGCGGCGUGCCUAACACAUGCAAGUCGAACGGGAGGCCCUCCUUCGGGAGGGUUGAGAGUGGCGCACGGGUGAGUAACACGUAGCUGACCUGCCCUGGAGAGGGGAAUAACCGAUGGAAACAGCGGCUAAAACCCCAUGAACCCGCCCUGACUAAACAGGGGCGAGCAAACACUACGGUGCUCUGGGAUGGGGCUGCGGGCCAUCAGCUAGUUGGUGUGGUAAUGGCGCACCAAGGCGAUGACGGCUAGGGGGCCUGAGAGGGUGAACCCCCACACUGGGACUGAGACACGGCCCAGACUCCUACGGGAGGCAGCAGUCAGGGAUAUUGCGCAAUGGACGAAAGUCUGACGCAGCGACGCCGCGUGGGUGA